Molecule: long non-coding RNA, 221 nt
Filed under: Elaeis guineensis (African oil palm)
Lineage: Eukaryota; Viridiplantae; Streptophyta; Magnoliopsida; Arecales; Arecaceae
Description: long non-coding RNA (EGUI_LNC039667)
Source: RNAcentral
CACUGCUGGCUAGAUGAUCGCUGUCGUAGGCAGUCAAGAAUAAAAAUCAACUCAAACUAUAUAGAUAGGGUGAGUAGGGAUCAUUUCUACGGAGAUCUAGGAUGAUUAUCUUUUUUUUAAGAAAAAAUAAAAAGAGAAUUGAUUGUAGAAAAAUUAAAAGAAAUAGAAUAGCAAGAAUUAAAUUAAAAGUAUGAAUUAAUUUAUGAAAAAAAAUAAGUCAG